RNAcentral lists this ribosomal RNA (429 nucleotides) under bacterium. Its description in RNAcentral is "partial 16S ribosomal RNA". It matches the Rfam family "Bacterial small subunit ribosomal RNA", at positions 355 to 776 of the family's 1533-position model. The record is from RNAcentral.
UAGGGAAUCUUCCACAAUGGACGCAAGUCUGAUGGAGCAACGCCGCGUGAGUGAAGAAGGUUUUCGGAUCGUAAAGCUCUGUUGUUGGUGAAGAAGGAUAGAGGCAGUAACUGGUCUUUAUUUGACGGUAAUCAACCAGAAAGUCACGGCUAACUACGUGCCAGCAGCCGACGUAAUACGUAGGUGGCAAGCGUUGUCCGGAUUUAUUGGGCGUAAAGCGAGCGCAGGCGGAAUGAUAAGUCUGAUGUGAAAGCCCACGGCUCAACCGUGGAACUGCAUCGGAAACUGUCAUUCUUGAGUGCAGAAGAGGAGAGUGGAAUUCCAUGUGUAGCGGUGGAAUGCGUAGAUAUAUGGAAGAACACCAGUGGCGAAGGCGGCUCUCUGGUCUGCAACUGACGCUGAGGCUCGAAAGCAUGGGUAGCGAACAGG